AAGGGGUAGCGGAGGCUCCUUCGGAUCCGGCUAUCGCUGGAGCUUUUCCGUCGCCCCGCCAUUGUCUGGCUUCUCCCCAUUGGGCUUCUUCCUUCCUUUUGCCAUUUUGCAUGUUUUCUUCUGCUGAAACCUAGGUUGCUUGCGUCUAGAUUGAGCCCCUGUCGUGAGCUUCAAUUCCGAGCUCGAUUUUACGGCUCUGUGCGAGUCGAGGACCCAUCAUCUGGGGCUUCAUUUAUAGCUGCUCUCCAUAGGAGGUUGUCGAGCUAGCCGGCAACAGUAAGCUCUGUCUGCGGGGGGGACAACGGCAAACCUUUCUUUGUCAUAUCUCUUCCCCUUUCCAGCAUCAGGUUUGGAAAUGUCCCCCACGUGUACAGUUUAAACGUCAUAGUGGACGGGUGCAUCCAUCAGGAAUGUUUGCUGUACAUAAACAGCCUGGAUCUUCUUGUAAAUUACAUUAGUUAGACGAAAUUUAAAGUUCAGAACUUUCGGGACUGAAUAUCAACCGCUUCCUAGGAGACUCCAAGAUAUGAAGCUGGUGCAUUUCCAAGUAGUCUUAAGGUUAGUGAGAACCAAUCCUUAUCGGAAUCAAAUUCUUGUAAAAGAUUUGUCGACACUCAAGUGAUAUUAAAAAUAUCGUUAUUUCUUGAUUUAUUUAUCUCCAAACUGUAUGUGUGACAAAUUUCGCUUUCCUGCGGAAAAUGUGCGUUGCCUUUAAAGCAAUGAAUAGCAAGCCAAAUUUCAAAUCCCAGCUCGAAACACACUGGGUAUAGUCCUACAGUGACACCCGUUGCUUGGAGGAAAUAGGUUCACCACGCUGGGCAUGAGGACGUAUGGCGCCCAUGUGGGUAUGCAUGGGCGGGCGGGCGUGCGUUAGCAGGAAGUGGUAGGAUGUGGCACACGCCGAGGCACAUCAGACAAGUGGAGGCAUGCAACA
RNAcentral lists this long non-coding RNA (934 nucleotides) under Spirodela polyrhiza (greater duckweed). RNAcentral's name for it is "long non-coding RNA (SPOL_LNC002494)". Lineage: Eukaryota; Viridiplantae; Streptophyta; Magnoliopsida; Alismatales; Araceae. The record is from RNAcentral.